CUUAUUAGUCAGUUAAUUAAAGCUACCAGGCUCAUGACCUGGCGAUACAAAAGUCUAAUAAA
Molecule: transfer RNA, 62 nt
Filed under: Baltalimania ylvae
Lineage: Eukaryota; Metazoa; Xenacoelomorpha; Acoela; Isodiametridae
Description: tRNA-Met
Source: RNAcentral